This is a small nuclear RNA of Schistocerca americana (American grasshopper), 105 nucleotides long. Lineage: Eukaryota; Metazoa; Arthropoda; Insecta; Orthoptera; Acrididae. The record is from RefSeq and is a predicted model, not a curated record.
GUACUCACUUUGGCUAUACAUAUUCUAAAAUUGUAACGAUGCAAAGAAGAUUAGCAUUGCCCCUGUGCAAGGAUGACACACAAUCACAAAGCAUUCCAAAUUUUU